AAAGCCCCCCUUUUAUAUCAUAU
RNAcentral lists this small nuclear RNA (23 nucleotides) under Arabidopsis thaliana (thale cress). Its description in RNAcentral is "snRNA_11838". Lineage: Eukaryota; Viridiplantae; Streptophyta; Magnoliopsida; Brassicales; Brassicaceae. The record is from RNAcentral.